RNAcentral lists this ribosomal RNA (1637 nucleotides) under Salmonella enterica. RNAcentral describes it as "partial 23S ribosomal RNA". It matches the Rfam family "Bacterial large subunit ribosomal RNA", at positions 1184 to 2802 of the family's 2925-position model. Lineage: Bacteria; Pseudomonadati; Pseudomonadota; Gammaproteobacteria; Enterobacterales; Enterobacteriaceae. The record is from RNAcentral.
AAACCAUGCACCGAAGCUGCGGCAGCGACGCUGAUGCGUUGUUGGGUAGGGGAGCGUUCUGUAAGCCUGUGAAGGUGGCCUGUGAGGGUUGCUGGAGGUAUCAGAAGUGCGAAUGCUGACAUAAGUAACGAUAAAGCGGGUGAAAAGCCCGCUCGCCGGAAGACCAAGGGUUCCUGUCCAACGUUAAUCGGGGCAGGGUGAGUCGACCCCUAAGGCGAGGCCGAAAGGCGUAGUCGAUGGGAAACGGGUUAAUAUUCCCGUACUUGGUGUUACUGCGAAGGGGGGACGGAGAAGGCUAUGUUGGCCGGGCGACGGUUGUCCCGGUUUAAGCGUGUAGGUGUGUGUUCCAGGUAAAUCCGGUUCACUUUAACACUGAGGCGUGAUGACGAGGCACUACGGUGCUGAAGCAACAAAUGCCCUGCUUCCAGGAAAAGCCUCUAAGCAUCAGGUAACAUCAAAUCGUACCCCAAACCGACACAGGUGGUCAGGUAGAGAAUACCAAGGCGCUUGAGAGAACUCGGGUGAAGGAACUAGGCAAAAUGGUGCCGUAACUUCGGGAGAAGGCACGCUGACACGUAGGUGAAGUGAUUUACUCAUGGAGCUGAAGUCAGUCGAAGAUACCAGCUGGCUGCAACUGUUUAUUAAAAACACAGCACUGUGCAAACACGAAAGUGGACGUAUACGGUGUGACGCCUGCCCGGUGCCGGAAGGUUAAUUGAUGGGGUCAGCGCAAGCGAAGCUCCUGAUCGAAGCCCCGGUAAACGGCGGCCGUAACUAUAACGGUCCUAAGGUAGCGAAAUUCCUUGUCGGGUAAGUUCCGACCUGCACGAAUGGCGUAAUGAUGGCCAGGCUGUCUCCACCCGAGACUCAGUGAAAUUGAACUCGCUGUGAAGAUGCAGUGUACCCGCGGCAAGACGGAAAGACCCCGUGAACCUUUACUAUAGCUUGACACUGAACAUUGAGCCUUGAUGUGUAGGAUAGGUGGGAGGCUUUGAAGUGUGGACGCCAGUCUGCAUGGAGCCGGCCUUGAAAUACCACCCUUUAAUGUUUGAUGUUCUAACGUGGACCCGUGAUCCGGGUUGCGGACAGUGUCUGGUGGGUAGUUUGACUGGGGCGGUCUCCUCCUAAAGAGUAACGGAGGAGCACGAAGGUUGGCUAAUCCUGGUCGGACAUCAGGAGGUUAGUGCAAUGGCAUAAGCCAGCUUGACUGCGAGCGUGACGGCGCGAGCAGGUGCGAAAGCAGGUCAUAGUGAUCCGGUGGUUCUGAAUGGAAGGGCCAUCGCUCAACGGAUAAAAGGUACUCCGGGGAUAACAGGCUGAUACCGCCCAAGAGUUCAUAUCGACGGCGGUGUUUGGCACCUCGAUGUCGGCUCAUCACAUCCUGGGGCUGAAGUAGGUCCCAAGGGUAUGGCUGUUCGCCAUUUAAAGUGGUACGCGAGCUGGGUUUAGAACGUCGUGAGACAGUUCGGUCCCUAUCUGCCGUGGGCGCUGGAGAACUGAGGGGGGCUGCUCCUAGUACGAGAGGACCGGAGUGGACGCAUCACUGGUGUUCGGGUUGUCAUGCCAAUGGCACUGCCCGGUAGCUAAAUGCGGAAGAGAUAAGUGCUGAAAGCAUCUAAGCACGAAACUUGCCCCGA